This 592-nucleotide ribosomal RNA is filed under the name uncultured bacterium. RNAcentral describes it as "bacterial SSU rRNA". It matches the Rfam family "Bacterial small subunit ribosomal RNA", at positions 8 to 572 of the family's 1533-position model. The record is from RNAcentral.
AGAGUUUGAUCCUGGCUCAGGACGAACGCUGGCGGCGUGCUUAACACAUGCAAGUCGGACGAGACGAUUUAGAAGCUUGCUUUUAAAGAGUCGAGUGGCAAACGGGUGAGUAACGCGUAGACAACCUGCCGUAAAGAUGGGGACAACAGUCCGAAAGGACUGCUAAUACCGAAUGUUGUGGAACUUCCGCAUGGGGGCUCCACUAAAGACGGCCUCUACUUGUAAGCUAUCGCUUUACGAUGGGUCUGCGUCUGAUUAGCUAGUUGGUGGGGUAACGGCUUACCAAGGCGACGAUCAGUAGCCGGUCUGAGAGGAUGAACGGCCACAUUGGAACUGAGACACGGUCCAGACUCCUACGGGAGGCAGCAGUGGGGAAUCUUCCGCAAUGGGCGCAAGCCUGACGGAGCAACGCCGCGUGAGUGAAGAANGGUUUCGACUCGUAAAGCUCUGUUGUCGGGGACGAAUGUGGAGAUGGUGAAUAACCAUUUUCAAUGACGGUACCUGACGAGGAAGCCACGGCUAACUACGUGCCAGCAGCCGCGGUAAUACGUANNGGCGAGCGUNGUCCNGANUNUUGGGCGUAANGGAGCGC